AGGGUGCAAGCGUUAAUCGGAAUUACUGGGCGUAAAGCGCGCGUAGGUGGUUGUUUAAGUCAGAUGUGAAAUCCCCGGGCUUAACCUGGGAAUUGCAUUUGAGACUGGAUGGCUAGAGUGUGGUAGAGGUGAGUGGAAUUUCAGGUGUAGCGGUGAAAUGCGUAGAUAUCUGAAGGAACAUCAGUGGCGAAGGCGACUCACUGGGCCAUUACUGACACUGAGGUGCGAAAGCGUGGGGAGCAA
Molecule: ribosomal RNA, 243 nt
Filed under: uncultured bacterium
Lineage: Bacteria
Description: partial 16S ribosomal RNA
Rfam family: Bacterial small subunit ribosomal RNA
Source: RNAcentral